UCAAAGUUAGGGAAGCUCCUUAAUCAACUAACGUCCUCGAAACAAUCCGAUAUAUUUGGCGAACUGAACCCUCAACAAUUCACAAAAUUGGUUGUGAAUUUAUAGGGAGCCCAACGUUACUCCCAACACCUUCAAGAACCAAUUAACAAAUUAGCUAAACAUUCCAACCAUAACACUUGAAACCACUUUGAAACCAAUUACCAUUCAUACUUAAGUUGUUACCAACAAAGCAACCUCGAUAAAAUUUGUAAAACAGAGACAGCAGCACACCUCAACGCACGACUGUCAGACUCGCAGCAAAAAUCCUAAGUGUGGGUCGGUCAGCGGUCGGCCAAAGGAGACGUGGCGGCUGCCUCAAAAUCGAUCAACGAUCUGACGCGGUCGGAGAGUCGCGCGGCAGUGCAAAAAAUAGAGGAGAACGGAAUGGGCGGCGGCUCGAAACAGAGGUUGCGCGGCAGGGCUCCACGAAGACAGAACCAGCAGAGACGGUUGCAGAACCGUGGCUUCGACGGAGACAAAACCGGCGGAGACGGUUGCAGCGGCGGUUACUGCGCGAACGGAGAGAAGGAAACGGAUGGGGCGGCUGGGCUACGGCGGGAAGAGAACGGAAGAGAAAGGAUCGGUGGCGGUUGCGGCUGGGCUGCGACGGGAAGAAAACGGAAGGGAGAAGAGAAAAGAGAAAGGAAAAGAGAAGAGAACGGGGGGGGG
RNAcentral lists this long non-coding RNA (708 nucleotides) under Cucumis sativus (cucumber). Its description in RNAcentral is "long non-coding RNA (CSAT_LNC001908)". Lineage: Eukaryota; Viridiplantae; Streptophyta; Magnoliopsida; Cucurbitales; Cucurbitaceae. The record is from RNAcentral.